UACGGAGGAUGCAAGCGUUAUCCGGAAUUAUUGGGCGUAAAGCGUCCGCAGGCGGCUAUGUAAGUCUGCUGUUAAAGAGUGAGGCUCAACCUCAUAAGAGCAGUGGAAACUACAUGGCUAGAGUGCGUUCGGGGCAGAGGGAAUUCCUGGUGUAGCGGUGAAAUGCGUAGAGAUCAGGAAGAACACCGGUGGCGAAAGCGCUCUGCUAGGCCGCAACUGACACUGAGGGACGAAAGCUAGGGGAGCGAAUGGG
Molecule: ribosomal RNA, 253 nt
Filed under: uncultured bacterium
Lineage: Bacteria
Description: partial 16S ribosomal RNA
Rfam family: Bacterial small subunit ribosomal RNA
Source: RNAcentral